RNAcentral lists this ribosomal RNA (253 nucleotides) under uncultured bacterium. RNAcentral's name for it is "partial 16S ribosomal RNA". It matches the Rfam family "Bacterial small subunit ribosomal RNA", at positions 524 to 776 of the family's 1533-position model. The record is from RNAcentral.
GACGAACCGUGCGAACGUUGUUCGGAAUCACUGGGCUUAAAGGGCGCGUAGGCGGGCAAUCAAGUCUGAGGUGAAAUCCUCCAGCUUAACUGGAGAAGUGCCCUGGAUACUGAUUGCCUCGAGGAUGGUAGGGGCAUCUGGAACUAGCGGUGGAGCGGUGAAAUGCGUUGAUAUCGCUAGGAACUCCGGUGGCGAAGGCGAGGUGCUGGACCAUUUCUGACGCUGAGGCGCGAAAGCCAGGGGAGCGAACGGG